GUGUUGUAUAAAAGGAGAGGUGGUUAGCAGUCCCCUUGAAAUGGCCUUGUGGCCUGCAACACACAUACGGUUAUUCCAUGGUCCGGGUGAAUACCCGUGGUUUAU
Molecule: small nuclear RNA, 105 nt
Organism: Oryzias melastigma (Indian medaka)
Lineage: Eukaryota; Metazoa; Chordata; Actinopteri; Beloniformes; Adrianichthyidae
Source: Ensembl